This 253-nucleotide ribosomal RNA is filed under the name uncultured bacterium. RNAcentral's name for it is "partial 16S ribosomal RNA". It matches the Rfam family "Bacterial small subunit ribosomal RNA", at positions 524 to 776 of the family's 1533-position model. The record is from RNAcentral.
UACGUAGGCAGCAAGCGUUGUUCGGAAUUACUGGGCGUAAAGAGUGUGUAGGCGGUUCUGUAAGUUUGGUGUGAAAUCUCCCGGCUUAACUGGGAGGGUGCGCCGAAAACUGCAAGGCUUGAGUGCUGGAGAGGAUAGCGGAAUUCCUGGUGUAGCGGUGAAAUGCGUAGAUAUCAGGAGGAACACCGGCGGUGUAGACGGCUAUCUGGACAGCAACUGACGCUGAGACACGAAAGCGUGGGGAGCAAACAGG